GCUGGCGGCGUGCUUAACACAUGCAAGUCGAACGGAUAGGCCCUGCUUUUGUGGGGUGCUCGAGUGGCGAACGGGUGAGUAACACGUGAGUAACCUGCCCUUGACUUUGGGAUAACUUCAGGAAACUGGGGCUAAUACCGGAUAGGAGCUCCUGCUGCAUGGUGGGGGUUGGAAAGUUUCGGCGGUUGGGGAUGGACUCGCGGCUUAUCAGCUUGUUGGUGGGGUAGUGGCUUACCAAGGCUUUGACGGGUAGCCGGCCUGAGAGGGUGACCGGCCACAUUGGGACUGAGAUACGGCCCAGACUCCUACGGGAGGCAGCAGUGGGGAAUAUUGCACAAUGGGCGGAAGCCUGAUGCAGCAACGCCGCGUGCGGGAUGACGGCCUUCGGGUUGUAAACCGCUUUCGCCUGUGACGAAGCGUGAGUGACGGUAAUGGGUAAAGAAGCACCGGCUAACUACGUGCCAGCAGCCGCGGUGAUACGUAGGGUGCGAGCGUUGUCCGGAUUUAUUGGGCGUAAAGGGCUCGUAGGUGGUUGAUCGCGUCGGAAGUGUAAUCUUGGGGCUUAACCCUGAGCGUGCUUUCGAUACGGGUUGACUUGAGGAAGGUAGGGGAGAAUGGAAUUCCUGGUGGAGCGGUGGAAUGCGCAGAUAUCAGGAGGAACACCAGUGGCGAAGGCGGUUCUCUGGGCCUUUCCUGACGCUGAGGAGCGAAAGCGUGGGGAGCGAACAGGCUUAAAUACCCUGGGAGUCCACGCUGUAAACGGUGGGUACUAGGUGUGGGGUUCUUUCCACGGGUUCCGUGCGGUAGCUAACGCUUUAAGUUCCCCCCCUGGGGAGUACGGCCGCAAGGCUAAAACUCAAAGGAAUUGAGGGGGCCCCGCACAAGCGGCGGAGCAUGCGGAUUAAUUCGAUGCAACGCGUAGAACCUUACCUGGGUUUGACAUGGAUCGGGAGUGCUCAGAGAUGGGUGUGCCUCUUUUGGGGUCGGUUCUCAGGUGGUGCAUGGCUGUCGUCAGCUCGUGUCGUGAGAUGUUGGGUUAAGUCCCGCAACGAGCGCAACCCUUGUUCACUGUUGCCAGCACGUUAUGGUGGGGACUCAGGUGGAGACCGCCGGGGUCAACUCGGAGGAAGGUGGGGAUGACGUCAAGUCAUCAUGCCCCUUAUGUCCAGGGCUUCACGCAUGCUACAAUGGCUGGUACAGAGAGUGGCGAGCCUGUGAGGGUGAGCGAAUCUCGGAAAGCCGGUCUCAGUUCGGAUUGGGGUCUGCAACUCGCCCUCAUGAAGUCGGAGUCGCUAGUAAUCGCAGAUCAGCAACGCUGCGGUGAAUACGUUCCCGGGGCUUGUACACACCGCCCGUCAAGUCAUGAAAGUUGGUAACACCCGAAGCCGAAGGCCUAACCGUUGUGGGGGAGCCGUCGAAGGUGGGACUG
This 1429-nucleotide ribosomal RNA is filed under the name uncultured organism. Its description in RNAcentral is "SSU rRNA". It matches the Rfam family "Bacterial small subunit ribosomal RNA". The record is from RNAcentral.